Molecule: ribosomal RNA, 253 nt
Filed under: uncultured bacterium
Lineage: Bacteria
Description: partial 16S ribosomal RNA
Rfam family: Bacterial small subunit ribosomal RNA
Source: RNAcentral
UACAGAGGGGGCAAGCGUUGUUCGGAAUUACUGGGCGUAAAGGGCGCGUAGGCGGCCUUCUUAGUCGAACGUGAAAUCCCCGGGCUCAACCCGGGAACUGCGUCCGAUACUGGAAGGCUCGAAUCCGGGAGAGGGAUGUGGAAUUCCAGGUGUAGCGGUGAAAUGCGUUGAUAUCAUCAGGAACACCGGUGGCGAAGGCGGCUUUCUGGGUCUUACCUGACGCUGAGGAACGAAAGCCAGGGGAGCGAACGGG